AUUGAACGCUGGCGGCAGGCCUAACACAUGCAAGUCGAACGGUAACAGGAAGAAGCUUGCUUCUUUGCUGACGAGUGGCGGACGGGUGAGUAAUGUCUGGGAAACUGCCUGAUGGAGGGGGAUAACUACUGGAAACGGUAGCUAAUACCGCAUAACGUCGCAAGACCAAAGAGGGGGACCUUCGGGCCUCUUGCCAUCGGAUGUGCCCAGAUGGGAUUAGCUAGUAGGUGGGGUAACGGCUCACCUAGGCGACGAUCCCUAGCUGGUCUGAGAGGAUGACCAGCCACACUGGAACUGAGACACGGUCCAGACUCCUACGGGAGGCAGCAGUGGGGAAUAUUGCACAAUGGGCGCAAGCCUGAUGCAGCCAUGCCGCGUGUAUGAAGAAGGCCUUCGGGUUGUAAAGUACUUUCAGCGGGGAGGAAGGGAGUAAAGUUAAUACCUUUGCUCAUUGACGUACCCGCAGAAGAAGCCCGCA
RNAcentral lists this ribosomal RNA (478 nucleotides) under Escherichia coli. RNAcentral's name for it is "bacterial SSU rRNA". It matches the Rfam family "Bacterial small subunit ribosomal RNA", at positions 30 to 496 of the family's 1533-position model. Lineage: Bacteria; Pseudomonadati; Pseudomonadota; Gammaproteobacteria; Enterobacterales; Enterobacteriaceae. The record is from RNAcentral.